RNAcentral lists this ribosomal RNA (268 nucleotides) under uncultured bacterium. Its description in RNAcentral is "partial 16S ribosomal RNA". It matches the Rfam family "Bacterial small subunit ribosomal RNA", at positions 934 to 1215 of the family's 1533-position model. The record is from RNAcentral.
GGAGCGUGUGGUUUAAUUCGAUGCUACACGAAGAACCUUACCAAGGUUUGACAUGUAAGUGGUAGUGAUCUGAAAAGUGAACGACCCUUCGGGGAGCUUACACAGGUGCUGCAUGGCUGUCGUCAGCUCGUGUCGUGAGAUGUUCGGUUAAGUCCGCUAACGAGCGCAACCCUCACUGUGUGUUACAUGUGUCACACGGGACUGCCGGUUUUAAGCCGGAGGAAGGCGGGGAUGACGUCAAGUCAGCAUGGCCUUUAUAUCUUGGGCA